This 484-nucleotide ribosomal RNA is filed under the name uncultured bacterium. RNAcentral describes it as "partial 16S ribosomal RNA". It matches the Rfam family "Bacterial small subunit ribosomal RNA", at positions 30 to 506 of the family's 1533-position model. The record is from RNAcentral.
AUUGAACGCUGGCGGCAGGCUUAACACAUGCAAGUCGAGCGGGGGAAGGUAGCUUGCUACCGGACCUAGCGGCGGACGGGUGAGUAAUGCUUAGGAAUCUGCCUAUUAGUGGGGGACAACAUCUCGAAAGGGAUGCUAAUACCGCAUACGUCCUACGGGAGAAAGCAGGGGAUCUUCGGACCUUGCGCUAAUAGAUGAGCCUAAGUCGGAUUAGCUAGUUGGUGGGGUAAAGGCCUACCAAGGCGACGAUCUGUAGCGGGACUGAGAGGAUGAUCCGCCACACUGGAACUGAGACACGGCCCAGACUCCUACGGGAGGCAGCAGUGGGGAAUAUUGGACAAUGGGGGGAACCCUGAUCCAGCCAUGCCGCGUGUGUGAAGAAGGCCUUAUGGUUGUAAAGCACUUUAAGCGAGGAGGAGGCUACUUUAGUUAAUACCUAGAGAUAGUGGACGUUACUCGCAGAAUAAGCACCGGCUAACUCUGU